Molecule: long non-coding RNA, 1527 nt
Filed under: Marmota monax (woodchuck)
Lineage: Eukaryota; Metazoa; Chordata; Mammalia; Rodentia; Sciuridae
Source: RNAcentral
CCGCCCCCGCCCCUCAUGGAUGUUACUCCUUGCCACAUUGAUGUCGAAGCACCUGCAAAAUUAGCUGUUUUCCAAUAUCCUGAAACCAUUUUGGAUCUGUUUUUGUGCCCUGGUCUAGGAACCCGAGGUUCAAUGAUGGCGCUAAAUGAAUUCAGGGUGAGUUCCUUCUCCCGCUAACCGAACUCUAAAAAUUUUGGCUGAACGUCUAAAGAAGCUCUGAGCACCCGGAGGCCUUUAAGGAAAACAGUCAACUGGCUGCGCACUGCUGCAGUUGAGGGCAGGGAGGGGGAGGUGCUGGAAAGGCCAAACAGGUGAGUGGUUUUUCUAGAUUCAUUAAAAGAAGGUGGGGGUAGCAUUUAGUAAUACUGAUAGUUUUUUGUACAGUGCAGCCACAGUUUUCAAAGUUCUUUCUCACGUGCCCUGAUUUUAUUCCUUAUUGCUCCAGAACGCUGGGCAAAGCCAGGAUUUCUUUUUCCCUUAUAAGAUAGAUCACUGUUCAUCAUUGCUCAUUGUAGAACAGAUGUGUUGGUCCUAUCUCUGAUUGGGGCAUUUCAACUGAUUCUUCUGUUUAUUAGGUUUGCCUUCCCCCCACCCCCUCAUGAUAAUUGAGAUAAUCCUUGAGGAAGGGAGGCCAUGUAAUGGAAUUGGAUUCUGCCCAGGGUUGGAAUUUCCUUUGCAACCUUGAGCUAGUUAUUUACAUAAUUUCUGUUGUCUUUCUGUAAAAUGGAACAAUAGCUUCUAACUUGUUAGGAUUGAGAUUUUAAUUUGUUUUGUAGUAAGAAGGAACUCUUAUUGAGGUUGAGGAAGAUCAGACACUGUAUAAAACGGCUUAUCUGCAUCAACCUUAAUAUUAUACUUACAUUGUGUAUUGUCUAUAUUAAACCCUUAUCAUUAUUUGCAAGGUUGAUUCUGUUGACUCCAUUUUACAGUCCAGGUAAGUAGAGAGGAUAAAUAAUGUGCCUACAACAUUUGGAGCUACAGCUGGUAUCUGAGCCAGUAAAUCUGUUUUUGAGAGGUGGCUUUCACAAGCUUAGGCUCCCAGAGGUGAUUUGGGAUACUCAAAAUUCCCAUCAGUGCCCCAUUCUUUAUUAUAUAUAAUCCUAUGUAAAGUGCUAUGCAAAUGCGUCUUCACAACCAACCCCCAGCCUCCCCUUCCAAGAUUGUGCCAAGGAAUUCUUCCAUAUACAGAAGUUGUGGAUCUGCUACUGCUACAGACUGUAACAUAAAUACAACAUACAGUAUAUAGAGCACAGUGUGGGUCGCUCAGGAAGCUGCCAGCAAGUGUUGGUUUUUAUCGGUAUUGGUACUGUUGCUGGCUAACAGGUCAAAAGUACUUUGUAAAAGUGCUUAAAACAUAAGGGUCAUUAUUCUUAUCACUACUGUUACUACUACUGUAAUAAAGUUCAGUUGAAUCAAGAAAUAUUUAUUUUUAUUUUGACACCCAAUUUCCAGAACCUUCCCCUGUCUGCCACUCCCAGCACCCAGAUCUUGCACUUAUUCUGGGGCCCCAGGUGCAAAUGAAAGGGG